GUUGGUUAUGGUGGCGUACACCUGCAGUCCCAGCUACUCAGGAGGCUGAGGCAGGAGGUUCACAGGAGCCUGGGAGGUUGAGGCUGUAGUGCGCUAUGCUGAUCAAGUGUCCACCCUAAGUUCGGCAUCAAUAUAGUGACCUCCCGGGAGCGGGGGACCACCAGGUUGCCUAAGGAGGGGUGAACCGGCCCAGGUCGGAAACAGAGGAGGUCAAAAGUCCCGUGCUGAUCAGUAGUGGGAUCUCGCCUGUGAAUAGCCACUGCACUCCAGCCUGGGCAACAUAGUGAGACCCCAUCUCU
This 299-nucleotide signal recognition particle RNA is filed under the name Cebus imitator (Panamanian white-faced capuchin). RNAcentral describes it as "Metazoan signal recognition particle RNA (ENSCCAG00000004121.1)". It matches the Rfam family "Metazoan signal recognition particle RNA". From Rfam's summary of the family: The signal recognition particle (SRP) is a universally conserved ribonucleoprotein. It is involved in the co-translational targeting of proteins to membranes. Lineage: Eukaryota; Metazoa; Chordata; Mammalia; Primates; Cebidae. The record is from RNAcentral.